This 60-nucleotide transfer RNA is filed under the name Zea mays. It matches the Rfam family "tRNA", at positions 1 to 58 of the family's 71-position model. From Rfam's summary of the family: Transfer RNA (tRNA) molecules are approximately 80 nucleotides in length. Their secondary structure includes four short double-helical elements and three loops (D, anti-codon, and T loops). Further hydrogen bonds mediate the characteristic L-shaped molecular structure. tRNAs have two regions of fundamental functional importance: the anti-codon, which is responsible for specific mRNA codon recognition, and the 3' end, to which the tRNAs corresponding amino acid is attached (by aminoacyl-tRNA synthetases). tRNAs cope with the degeneracy of the genetic code in two manners: having more than one tRNA (with a specific anti-codon) for a particular amino acid; and 'wobble' base-pairing, i.e. permitting non-standard base-pairing at the 3rd anti-codon position. The record is from Rfam by way of RNAcentral. Lineage: Eukaryota; Viridiplantae; Streptophyta; Magnoliopsida; Poales; Poaceae.
GCUUGUCUAGCUCAGUCGGUAGAGCGCAAGGCUCUUAACCUUGAGAUCCUGGGUCAAACU